GCACUCAUUUCAGCAGCACGUAUACUAAUAUUGGAACAAUAUAGAAAAGACUAGCAUGGCCCCUGUGCAGUGUUGACAUACAAGUUCAUGAAGCAUUUCACAUAUUU
RNAcentral lists this small nuclear RNA (107 nucleotides) under Microtus ochrogaster (prairie vole). The record is from RNAcentral. Lineage: Eukaryota; Metazoa; Chordata; Mammalia; Rodentia; Cricetidae.